GACGAACGCUGGCGGCGUGCCUAAUACAUGCAAGUCGAACGCUGAAGGAGGAGCUUGCUCUUCUGGAUGAGUUGCGAACGGGUGAGUAACGCGUAGGUAACCUGCCUGGUAGCGGGGGAUAACUAUUGGAAACGAUAGCUAAUACCGCAUAACAGUAGAUGUUGCAUGACAUUUGCUUAAAAGGUGCAAUUGCACCACUACCAGAUGGACCUGCGUUGUAUUAGCUAGUUGGUGGGGUAACGGCUAACCAAGGCGACGAUACAUAGCCGACCUGGGAGGGUGGUCGGCCACCCUGGGACUGAGACACGGCCCAGACUCCUACGGGAGGCAGCAGGAGGGAAUCUUCGGCAAUGGACGGAAGUCUGACCGAGCAACGCCGCGGGAGUGAAGAAGGGUGUCGGAUCGUAAAGCUCUGUUGUAAGAGAAGAACGAGUGUGAGAGUGGAAAGUUCACACUGUGACGGUAUCUUAACAGAAAGGGACGGCUAACUACGUG
Molecule: ribosomal RNA, 495 nt
Filed under: uncultured bacterium
Lineage: Bacteria
Description: partial 16S ribosomal RNA
Rfam family: Bacterial small subunit ribosomal RNA
Source: RNAcentral